CGCGUAGGCGGGGAUUUAAGUCAGGAGUGUAAACUAUCGGCUCAACCGGUAGCUUGCUUCUGAAACUGAAUUUCUUGAGGGUAUGAGAGGAAAGCGGAAUUCCCAGUGUAGCGGUGAAAUGCGUAGAUAUUGGGAGGAACACCAGUGGCGAAGGCGGCUUUCUGGCAUACAACUGACGCUGAGGCGCGAAAGCGUGGGGAGCAAACG
This 207-nucleotide ribosomal RNA is filed under the name uncultured bacterium. Its description in RNAcentral is "partial 16S ribosomal RNA". It matches the Rfam family "Bacterial small subunit ribosomal RNA", at positions 568 to 774 of the family's 1533-position model. The record is from RNAcentral.